RNAcentral lists this transfer RNA (72 nucleotides) under Bos taurus (domestic cattle). It matches the Rfam family "tRNA". Rfam says of the family: Transfer RNA (tRNA) molecules are approximately 80 nucleotides in length. Their secondary structure includes four short double-helical elements and three loops (D, anti-codon, and T loops). RNAcentral also lists the same sequence under 2 other names. The record is from Rfam by way of RNAcentral. Lineage: Eukaryota; Metazoa; Chordata; Mammalia; Artiodactyla; Bovidae.
UCCCUGGUAGCUCAGAUGGUAAAGCAUCUGCCUACAAUGCGGGAGACCCAGGUUCGAUACCUGGGUCGGGAA